Molecule: unclassified non-coding RNA, 4176 nt
Organism: Acanthaster planci (crown-of-thorns starfish)
Lineage: Eukaryota; Metazoa; Echinodermata; Asteroidea; Valvatida; Acanthasteridae
Source: RefSeq, a predicted model, not a curated record
ACCUUGUAUGCCUCAUUGCCAGUGCUUUGUACAGAAGUAAAAUGUGUAACAAUGCAGAGGUGCAGGCGAGGGCACUCUCACAAGUGCCAAUCCACCUUGUGCCUAGAAUGCCUUCCUUGGGUACUCGUACAUUUGAGCUGAAUUGGCUUUUGGAUGUCAUUGAAUGGUUCAGAGCGACAUAUUUUGUUAAUGAGCAUCCAUCAAGCGAUUCAGCAACACCAAUUGAUGCCCUUUGCAGUUGCAUAGAGAAAAUGUCAGCUUCAAAAGAGCAGGACCAGAUCCAUGUUUGUUUGACAACCUUUAGAGCACUUGGCCUUCAAGCUCGCUUGAUUGAAUCUCUCCAGCCAAUCACUGUGAAGUACACUGCACCUAGCAAGGUCUGCAGUGAGCGUGCAUCAUUGCAACCGCACCCACAAAAACAGGAACGUAUAAGUGGAGUUCCCACAUCCAAGAGAUCUGAUAAAGGAAAAAGAAAACUGUUAAAUACUAAUUCAAAAUCAAACUCAAGGGAACAGAAGAGAAAAUGGCGAAGGAAACGGUCAAGAAUAAAUGAUGAAAUUCACAAAAUGAAAACAAGAAGCUGUGAAAGCACAGGGAAAACUUGGAAAAUUCCAGAAAAGAGUCCAUACCUUGAUUCUGAAGAAGAUGUCCAACCUAAAGCUGAAGUGCUCACAGAAGAAUUUUCCUCAAAGAGAAAGGUAACCAACAGAAACAUAGUGUCUUCAGACUCGGAAAAUGACUACAGAGUUCUCCCAUCUGAAAGAAGAGUGUGUAACAGUUGGAUUGAAGUUUACAGUUCAAAAGAAAAGAAGUGGAUAUGUGUGGAUUUUGCCCGAGGCCUUAUCAACCGACCAGAUUUAUGCGAACAGAAUGCAACAAAGCCAAUUUGCUAUGUUGUAGCCAUUGAUAAUGACAUCUGCAAAGCUGCAUGUUGGAAGUCUCCCUCUACCUCCUGCAAUUUGAGGGAUGUUCUACAAAGCAACACCGCAAAUGGCAGGACAAUCCUACUCUCCGCAGGACAGAGGUCAAAGGGACCUCCUGUAGGACGGGUGACAAGUCAUCAUGAAGUUCAUUUACUUUUUCUUAAAUGUAUACACUCUUGUUUAUAUGUGAAAGUGUAUUCUUGGCAUUACAUGUGUUGUUGCCAACCCCCACCUAAAUCGGUGCUACUCCGCAUAUGUAGUGACUGUUUGGGUAGGUAUUCUCUAGUAGACCCGACCCUCACUUAAUAAUGUGGGGGAGGAAUUUGUAGCACACUGGUAUCUGCCAAAAUGACACGGUGCAAUACAACUAUAAAUCAAACAAAAUUAACAAGAAAUAAUGUAAUAACCGUUGAACAAGUUGGUUUUAAGAGAAACCUUGAAGUCAGUGAUGGAGGCACUAGUCUGAAUAUCUGAAGGGAGUUUGUUCCACAGAUGAGGGCCAGCAUGAGAGAAGGAUCUAUCCCCCAAGAGUUAUGUGUAGUGGGGACAGCAAACAGGGAAGCAUCAGAUGAUCUCAGUCCCCUAGACGGUCGGUAAUGAGCCAGUAAAUCAAUGUUGUAUGUUGGAGCAGAACUAUGAAGGGCAUAGAAAAAAACAACAGAGUUUUGUGCUUAAUCCAGUCAGCAACUCAGAGCCAGUGCAGAGAGUGUAGAAUAAGUGUUAUGUCAGUUCUAGACGAAGUCAGAGUCACAAUAUGAACAGCAGUAUUCUGAAGUCUUUGAAGACACACGAGUUGGGCACCGGGUUAUUGAUAUGAGAGUGAGUUGCAAAAAUCCAAACGUGAAGAAAUGAGAGCGUGAACAAGUUUUUCUGUGGCAGAUCGCAUCAAGUACUUGCGAAUUAAACCCAAAUUAUGCAACUGAAAACAAAUAGAUUUGCAGAUAUUGGAAACAUGAUUGGACAUGGACAUGGAAGAGUCACAAGUAACACCGAGGUUCUCACAGGUCAUAGACAUACUGACCGCUGAAUCACUAAUUCUAAUCUUGGAAACUCUUAACUUUGGCAAGUUGUACCUUGGAGUCUAAUAAAAUCAGUUGUUGUGUUAUAAUAUUUGUAACAACACAUCCACAUACUGACAUCAUCAAUGCCUCUAACGUGCAUAAAGAGUGCAUGCCAUCGAUCUCUUCUGGCUCAAAUGACAAACAAUUGAACAUAAACAGCAUCGCAGUUGCACUGGAUAUCACGAUGUUGCAAGACUUGCUCCAGUCCAUUUAGGUAGAUGGAAAACAAGGGCACACCAACAGAACCCAGAGGGAUGCUGCCCUACAGGAUCAGAUUUUGCAUCACCGAUACAAACCAGCUAAUGACUAUCACUCAAGUAUGACUUAAACCAAUCCAGGACCUGGCCACACAAGCCUAAAGAAGACAAGAUACUAUCAUGAUUUCAUGAUUGACUGUAUAAAAUGCUGAGGAGAAAUCUAAUAGAACCACAGCUGUGAUUAUCCCUGCAUCCAUCUCUCACAAAAUGUGGUCUGAUAAAUUAACAAGCAAGGUUUCUACACUGUGAUUGACCUGAUAGGCAGUUGGUUGUUUUUCUGCAGAUAAUCAGUCAAUCUGUAGAAAACAACACGCUCUAGAAACUUUGAUAAAAAUGGUAAGUUAGACACAGGCUGAUAAUUCUGCAAAGAUUCUAGGUCGAAGGAUGGUCUUUCCAACUCCAGAUGAAUGUACGCUGUCUUCAGUGUUGCUGGAAAGUCACUGUCCAGAAGACUCAGCUUAACCAUUCCAGCAAGCACUGUUGUGAAGGAUUGAAUACAGUCUUUCAGUAGUUUGGUGGAUGUGGCAGGUUUUUUCCAAAUGAGAGACUUGUUUCUUUUUGUGUAGUGAGUUCAAAGGAUUCCAGAACUGCAGGCGGUUGAUUUUAGGGGGCAACAGGUGCAUCCGGAGAGAGGCUGUCAUGUGGAAUCACUCUUGGUAACAAAGAACUUACUAAAAACCUGUGCAAGGUUUCUUCUGCAGAAAACUCUGUGAAGGAUGUCACCAAGCGCUAUGCUUCCAAAUGGAUGUAUGGAACAGAGAAGCUAAGGGUGCAUUUAAAUUGGUGGGAGGCUACAUUAAAACCUUACUACACAAAGCUUAUCACCAGAGAUAAAGAAGAAGAUGACCAGCUACAAAAACAACUUCAGGACAAACCUCUACCUACCAGCAUUUCCGAGUACAAGAAUCAUCACUUAUACGUCUUGAAGAGGCACCUGUUGAAAUACGAGGCCUUGUAUCCUGAAUCUGCUACCAUUAUGGGCUACUGUAGAGGUGAAGCAGUAUAUUCAAGGGACUGCGUUCACACUGUAAGUUUUUAUUGACUAGUAUUUGCAGGUGGAAAUUUGAUAAAUAUGUAUGCAUUGAGAAGAUAAGAAAAGCAAAGGUGCCCUCAUCAGAGGAGUUAGAGCUUGUUGUGAUGGACCAUUGGUAAAUGAAACAUGGCAAAUUCAGCAUUUGACCUGUUAAGGUAGAGCAUACAGAGCUGGAAAUCGCAUACUGUUUUUCUUUAUUGACCCCUCCCCUGGUGAAACAUGAAGUUGUUUUUGUUGUCUGUAUUGGUUUUACUAACUGCCAACUACAUUUUCUCUUGUUGCCUAACAUAAUUAAUUGCUGAAAGUUUGAUAAUUGUGCAGAGUCUAACUUAUAACCAACAUGCAGGGAAAAAAGAAGCACCAUGCUUUUGGCUUACACAAACGGUGGUUCAGACUAGACACAAAACAUAAGACAUGAGACAUUUGAUAUGAUGCACUGGCAAGAUAGACAACAAUAAGACAGAUAUGCUAUCAGUUAAGACCAGACCCUUUAAAGAAUGGAAGUAGAUUGGCAUAAUUACAUGAUCUAAGUUUCAUUAUACAAACUGAUGAGGUAGGUUUUGAGUUUUCUAGUAAAUGUAUUUGGCUUUGAAAAUCUUGUCAGAUCUGUAUUAAGGUUGUUGCAAAAGGACACACAUCAUGAGAUCAGAUAUUUUUGGAAACAGAAGUACAGCUAUAAUUUAUAUAAUAAUUGCCUCUAGAUUCUAGUUGCAUGACGCUCCUUUGAUAAUAUACAGUUGCUUUUUAGCAUAUUCUUGAGAAACGUCAUGAAGAAGUAACUUAAAUCAAUCCAUUUGUGCUGGCUUUGUAUUUCUUUGCAAUAAAUCAGACGGGGAAUGUUCUCUCCUCUGCACUUUUCUUACAUCCAGAUAUCAUUACUAUGUGUUUUUUAUCAUGCUGAA